RNAcentral lists this long non-coding RNA (620 nucleotides) under Phoenix dactylifera (date palm). Its description in RNAcentral is "long non-coding RNA (PDAC_LNC005461)". Lineage: Eukaryota; Viridiplantae; Streptophyta; Magnoliopsida; Arecales; Arecaceae. The record is from RNAcentral.
UCAAAAUGGGCCAGACAUGCCUCUAAGGGGUCAUCUGCUAAGAUAUAGGAAAGGGCUUCCUCUACAAGAUCAUCCAUUUCGUCAAUUAGGCAACACUCGUCUUCCCUCACAUGUUGGUCAGCGGCAUGAAAAACAUUCAAUUUAAUUUUCAUGUUCCCAAAUGAUAUAUCCAUUGCCCCAGUUCUACAGUUGAUGCAUGCAUUGGCUGUUGCUAAAAAGGGACGACCAAGAAUCACAGGGAUUUGUUUUUUUAGGUUGGGCACAUGUUCCAUGUCAAGGACGAUAAAAUCUACUGGAAAAUAGAACUUGUCUACCUUGACAAGAACAUCUUCAAUCAUCUCCCGUGGUAUCUUCACAGAUCGAUCAGCCAAUUGUAAGGACACCGAGGUAGGUUUUAAUUCACCUAACCCAAAUUUCUCAUAGACUGAAUAGGGUAGAAGAUUCACACUUGCCCCUAGAUCUAAGAGCGCUCGGUCAAUGGAGUUAUCUCCUAUGACACAGGAAAUAGUGGGAGCGCCAGGAUCUUUGAAUUUUGGAGGGGUGUUAUAUUGGAGAAUGGAACUUACCUGUUCAGUAAGUAAGACCUUUUUAGGCACAUGUGUCCUAGAUUUUUGCUUUUG